Molecule: ribosomal RNA, 106 nt
Filed under: Pteropus alecto (black flying fox)
Lineage: Eukaryota; Metazoa; Chordata; Mammalia; Chiroptera; Pteropodidae
Source: RNAcentral
UGCUACGGCCACGCCACCCUGAACAUGCCGGAUGGAAGCUAAGCAGGGUCGGGCCUGGUUGGUACUCGGAAGGGAGACCACCUAGGAAGACCAGGUGCUGCCGCGU